CCGCCGUCCUUGGGGGAGUAGUCUCCGACGAGCGCCCUGCUCGUCCGGCAUGCGUCAACACACUUGGUCCGCAGACCAUGGCGCAUGCGACCGGCCAGCCUAGCAAUAGCGCAUGGCCCGGUU
RNAcentral lists this small RNA (123 nucleotides) under Stutzerimonas stutzeri. RNAcentral describes it as "Pseudomonas stutzeri Manganese sequence". The stretch from base 13 to 122 matches the Rfam family "Manganese Mn2+ riboswitch aptamer (yybP-ykoY)". Rfam says of the family: This RNA was originally discovered in E. coli during a large scale screen and was named SraF. Lineage: Bacteria; Pseudomonadati; Pseudomonadota; Gammaproteobacteria; Pseudomonadales; Pseudomonadaceae. The record is from RNAcentral.